RNAcentral lists this ribosomal RNA (408 nucleotides) under uncultured bacterium. RNAcentral describes it as "partial 16S ribosomal RNA". It matches the Rfam family "Bacterial small subunit ribosomal RNA", at positions 28 to 526 of the family's 1533-position model. The record is from RNAcentral.
GACGAACGCUGACGGCGUGCUUAACACAUGCAAGUCGAAGGGCGUGGCGAACGGGUGAGUAACACGUGAGUAACCUGCCCUUUUCGGUGGGAUAAGCCUGGGAAACUGGGUAUAAUACUGGAUGGUUUGGGAUGGGGUGUCGGCUUAUCAGGUUGGUGGUGGGGUGAUGGCUUACCAAGCCUUUGACGGGUAGCGGGGCUGAGAGGGUGGUCGGGCACUCUGAGACGGAGAUACGGCCCAGGUUCCUACGCGAGGCCGCAGUGGGGGAUAUGGCACAAUGGACGGAAGUCUGAUGCCGCGACGUCGUGUGGGGGAUGAGGGCCUUCGGGUUGUAACCUCCUUUCGCCCGCGGAAUGGUAGUGGGUAAAGAAGCGCCGGCUAACUCCGUGCCAGCCGCCGCGGUAAUAC